UACGUAGGGUGCGAGCGUUGUCCGGAAUUAUUGGGCGUAAAGGGCUCGUAGGCGGUUUGUCGCGUCGGGAGUGAAAACCCAGGGCUUAACCCUGGGCUGGCUUUCGAUACGGGCAGACUAGAGGUAUGCAGGGGAGACUGGAAUUCCUGGUGUAGCGGUGAAAUGCGCAGAUAUCAGGAGGAACACCGGUGGCGAAGGCGGGUCUCUGGGCCGAUACUGACGCUGAGGAGCGAAAGCGUGGGGAGCGAACAGG
Molecule: ribosomal RNA, 253 nt
Filed under: uncultured bacterium
Lineage: Bacteria
Description: partial 16S ribosomal RNA
Rfam family: Bacterial small subunit ribosomal RNA
Source: RNAcentral